AGUUGCUACAAAUUAAGGAUCAUCUGCUUUUAUUUAAUAACAUUGAAAAGUUGUGGAAGAGAGGAUGUCUUCGUAGAGUUACAAAAUGAUGAUGAAGAGCCGAGAUGUUACUGGUAUAUUUGAGGUGCAGGGAUUCACCCUCCUGUGAGACGGACUCAGGUCCUUCAUAAAGUACCAGAUGACAACCAAACCCACCCUGCAACCACUCCAACAGCUCCCCAGCUGCACACAGUGCCAGCCCCCAGAUGCUGACCCGAGACUAAGGGAGGUCCUUAAGAUGAGGAAAAUAAGGCUCAGACUGCAACGAAGAGGAAAGCGACCUUUUGGCGGCCAGAGCAGGAUGGCACCCCAGCUGGCUUUGGUGUGCUCUGUCCUGUGAAACAUACACGAUGUUACAGGGCCACUCUGACAAUGAUGGGUGACAACAAAAACAACUUUGUCUAAAAGCCCACAUUGACCAGACAGCUCAUCGAAGGGAUGGCUGCUGCUUUAGCAAUGGCAGAGUGGCUUAAGGAGAGGCACUCAGAGACAACAGGAAAGGUCUAAGGCCCUUGCUCCCACCCGCUCCCUGGCAGAGCCUCGUGAGGUCAUCGGCUUUGGCUCACAGCUGGACAGAAGGGGCCAGGGGUCUGGUGUCUUUUGUCUUUUCCCUUCUGUUCAGCCAACCUGCUCCUCCUCCAGUGCCUGAGAAUCGUUUUGGAGUCACAGAAAAGUUGCAGAGGUGAUAAGAGUUCUGUGGACCCAACACCCAGCUUCCCCUAUUACCAUCAUCUCACACUGCGCACAGCUAAUGAACGGUCCACGUGGGCAGUAAGUUCUCACUAACUAAAACCCCUAUGUUAUACAGACUUCCUUAGUUUUUCCCUUCCCCUCCUUCCUCCCUCUUUCUUCUUUUAUUCUCCUCCUCCUCCUCCUCCUGCUUCUUCUUCUCCUUCUUCCCUUUCUCCUUCCCCCCCCCCCUUCUCUUCCUUCUCCUCCUUCUCCUCCUUUUCUUCCCUCUUGAUGCCCUUCUUCUGCUCUAGGAUCCCUUCCAGGACA
This 1038-nucleotide long non-coding RNA is filed under the name Heterocephalus glaber (naked mole-rat). RNAcentral's name for it is "lncRNA (ENSHGLG00100049994.1)". Lineage: Eukaryota; Metazoa; Chordata; Mammalia; Rodentia; Bathyergidae. The record is from RNAcentral.